GGUUGUGGCUUAGUGGUAGAGCACUUGCCUAGCAUGUAUGAGGCACUGGGUUCAAUUCUCAGCACCA
RNAcentral lists this transfer RNA (67 nucleotides) under Marmota monax (woodchuck). It matches the Rfam family "tRNA". From Rfam's summary of the family: Transfer RNA (tRNA) molecules are approximately 80 nucleotides in length. Their secondary structure includes four short double-helical elements and three loops (D, anti-codon, and T loops). Further hydrogen bonds mediate the characteristic L-shaped molecular structure. tRNAs have two regions of fundamental functional importance: the anti-codon, which is responsible for specific mRNA codon recognition, and the 3' end, to which the tRNAs corresponding amino acid is attached (by aminoacyl-tRNA synthetases). tRNAs cope with the degeneracy of the genetic code in two manners: having more than one tRNA (with a specific anti-codon) for a particular amino acid; and 'wobble' base-pairing, i.e. permitting non-standard base-pairing at the 3rd anti-codon position. The record is from Rfam by way of RNAcentral. Lineage: Eukaryota; Metazoa; Chordata; Mammalia; Rodentia; Sciuridae.